RNAcentral lists this ribosomal RNA (1488 nucleotides) under uncultured Propionibacterium sp. RNAcentral's name for it is "bacterial SSU rRNA". It matches the Rfam family "Bacterial small subunit ribosomal RNA". Lineage: Bacteria; Bacillati; Actinomycetota; Actinomycetes; Propionibacteriales; Propionibacteriaceae. The record is from RNAcentral.
AGAGUUUGAUCCUGGCUCAGGACGAACGCUGGCGGCGUGCUUAACACAUGCAAGUCGAACGGAAAGGCCCUGCUUUUGUGGGGUGCUCGAGUGGCGAACGGGUGAGUAACACGUGAGUAACCUGCCCUUGACUUUGGGAUAACUUCAGGAAACUGGGGCUAAUACCGGAUAGGAGCUCCUGCUGCAUGGUGGGGGUUGGAAAGUUUCGGCGGUUGGGGAUGGACUCGCGGCUUAUCAGCUUGUUGGUGGGGUAGUGGCUUACCAAGGCUUUGACGGGUAGCCGGCCUGAGAGGGUGACCGGCCACAUUGGGACUGAGAUACGGCCCAGACUCCUACGGGAGGCAGCAGUGGGGAAUAUUGCACAAUGGGCGGAAGCCUGAUGCAGCAACGCCGCGUGCGGGAUGACGGCCUUCGGGUUGUAAACCGCUUUCGCCUGUGACGAAGCGUGAGUGACGGUAAUGGGUAAAGAAGCACCGGCUAACUACGUGCCAGCAGCCGCGGUGAUACGUAGGGUGCGAGCGUUGUCCGGAUUUAUUGGGCAUAAAGGGCUCGUAAGUGGUUGAUCGCGUCNGAAGUGUAAUCUUGGGGCUUAACCCUGAGCGUGCUUUCGAUACGGGUUGACUUGAGGAAGGUAGGGGAGAAUGGAAUUCCUGGUGGAGCGGUGGAAUGCGCAGAUAUCAGGAGGAACACCAGUGGCGAAGGCGGUUCUCUGGGCCUUUCCUGACGCUGAGGAGCGAAAGCGUGGGGAGCGAACAGGCUUAGAUACCCUGGUAGUCCACGCUGUAAACGGUGGGUACUAGGUGUGGGGUCCAUUCCACGGGUUCCGUGCCGUAGCUAACGCUUUAAGUACCCCGCCUGGGGAGUACGGCCGCAAGGCUAAAACUCAAAGGAAUUGACGGGGCCCCGCACAAGCGGCGGAGCAUGCGGAUUAAUUCGAUGCAACGCGUAGAACCUUACCUGGGUUUGACAUGGAUCGGGAGUGCUCAGAGAUGGGUGUGCCUCUUUUGGGGUCGGUUCACAGGUGGUGCAUGGCUGUCGUCAGCUCGUGUCGUGAGAUGUUGGGUUAAGUCCCGCAACGAGCGCAACCCUUGUUCACUGUUGCCAGCACGUUAUGGUGGGGACUCAGUGGAGACCGCCGGGGUCAACUCGGAGGAAGGUGGGGAUGACGUCAAGUCAUCAUGCCCCUUAUGUCCAGGGCUUCACGCAUGCUACAAUGGCUGGUACAGAGAGUGGCGAGCCUGUGAGGGUGAGCGAAUCUCGGAAAGCCGGUCUCAGUUCGGAUUGGGGUCUGCAACUCGACCUCAUGAAGUCGGAGUCGCUAGUAAUCGCAGAUCAGCAACGCUGCGGUGAAUACGUUCCCGGGGCUUGUACACACCGCCCGUCAAGUCAUGAAAGUUGGUAACACCCGAAGCCGGUGGCCUAACCGUUGUGGGGGAGCCGUCGAAGGUGGGACUGGUGAUUAGGACUAAGUCGUAACAAGGUAACCAA